This 258-nucleotide unclassified non-coding RNA is filed under the name Hevea brasiliensis (rubber tree). The record is from RNAcentral. Lineage: Eukaryota; Viridiplantae; Streptophyta; Magnoliopsida; Malpighiales; Euphorbiaceae.
UUGAGAAGAUAUGGCUCUACCUUGAAGGAUACAGAAAUACGUGAUCUUAUGGAUGCAGUAAGAUGUUUGUCAAAGCAGAUAUUUGUUUAUAACGGUUCAUCUUAACAAAUUAGAACGAGAGGAACAUCUUGUUGCAGCAUUCCAAUACUUUGAUAAGGAUGGAAGUGGCUAUAUCACAGUUGAUGAGCUUCAGCAAGCAUGCGCAGAACAUAACAUGACUGAUGUUUUACUUGAAGAUAUAAUCAGAGAAGUUGAUCA